RNAcentral lists this ribosomal RNA (253 nucleotides) under uncultured bacterium. RNAcentral describes it as "partial 16S ribosomal RNA". It matches the Rfam family "Bacterial small subunit ribosomal RNA", at positions 524 to 776 of the family's 1533-position model. The record is from RNAcentral.
UACGUAGGGUCCGAGCGUUGUCCGGAAUUAUUGGGCGUAAAGGGCUCGUAGGCGGUUCGUCACGUCGGGAGUGAAAACUCGGAGCUUAACUCCGAGCCUGCUUCCGAUACGGGCAGACUAGAGGUAGGCAGGGGAGAGCGGAACUCCUGGUGUAGCGGCGGAAUGCGCAGAUAUCAGGAAGAACACCGGUGGCGAAGGCGGCUCUCUGGGCCUUACCUGACGCUGAGGAGCGAAAGCGUGGGUAGCGAACAGG